This 460-nucleotide ribosomal RNA is filed under the name uncultured bacterium. Its description in RNAcentral is "partial 16S ribosomal RNA". It matches the Rfam family "Bacterial small subunit ribosomal RNA", at positions 338 to 795 of the family's 1533-position model. The record is from RNAcentral.
CCUACGGGAGGCAGCAGUGAGGAAUAUUGGUCAAUGGACGAGAGUCUGAACCAGCCAAGUAGCGUGAAGGAUGACUGCCCUAUGGGUUGUAAACUUCUUUUAUAUGGGAAUAAAAUGUUCCACGUGUGGGAUUUUGUAUGUACCAUAUGAAUAAUGAUCGGCUAACUCCGUGCCAGCAGCCGCGGUAAUACGGAGGAUCCGAGCGUUAUCCGGAUUUAUUGGGUUUAAAGGGAGCGUAGGUGGAUUGUUAAGUCAGUUGUGAAAGUUUGCGGCUCAACCGUAAAAUUGCAGUUGAAACUGGCAGUCUUGAGUACAGUAGAGGUGGGCGGAAUUCGUGGUGUAGCGGUGAAAUGCUUAGAUAUCACGAAGAACUCCGAUUGCGAAGGCAGUUCACUGGACUGCAACUGACACUGAGGCUCGAAAGUGUGGGUAUCAAACAGGAUUAGAUACCCGAGUAGUC